RNAcentral lists this ribosomal RNA (492 nucleotides) under uncultured bacterium. RNAcentral describes it as "partial 16S ribosomal RNA". It matches the Rfam family "Bacterial small subunit ribosomal RNA", at positions 29 to 507 of the family's 1533-position model. The record is from RNAcentral.
AGUGAACGCUGGCGGUAGGCCUAACACAUGCAAGUCGAACGGCAGCACAGUAAGAGCCUGCUCUUACGGGUGGCGAGUGGCGGACGGGUGAGGAAUACAUCGGAAUCUACUUUUUCGUGGGGGAUAACGUAGGGAAACUUACGCUAAUACCGCAUACGACCUACGGGUGAAAGCAGGGGAUCUUCGGACCUUGCGCAAUUGAAUGAGCCGAUGUCGGAUUAGCUAGUUGGCGGGGUAAAGGCCCACCAAGGCGACGAUCCGUAGCUGGUCUGAGAGGAUGAUCAGCCACACUGGAACUGAGACACGGUCCAGACUCCUACGGGAGGCAGCAGUGGGGAAUAUUGGACAAUGGGCGCAAGCCUGAUCCAGCCAUACCGCGUGGGUGAAGAAGGCCUUCGGGUUGUAAAGCCCUUUUGUUGGGAAAGAAAAGCAGCAGGUUAAUACCCCGCUGUUCUGACGGUACCCAAAGAAUAAGCACCGGCUAACUUCGUG